RNAcentral lists this ribosomal RNA (497 nucleotides) under uncultured bacterium. Its description in RNAcentral is "partial 16S ribosomal RNA". It matches the Rfam family "Bacterial small subunit ribosomal RNA", at positions 28 to 507 of the family's 1533-position model. The record is from RNAcentral.
GAUGAACGCUGGCGGCGUGCCUAAUACAUGCAAGUCGAGCGAACAGACGAGGAGUUUGCUCCUCUGACGUUAGCGGCGGACGGGUGAGUAACACGUGGAUAACCUACCUAUAAGACUGGGAUAACUUCGGGAAACCGGAGCUAAUACCGGAUAAUAUAUUGAACCGCAUGGUUCAAUAGUGAAAGACGGUUUUGCUGUCACUUAUAGAUGGAUCCGCGCCGCGUUAGCUAGUUGGUAAGGUAAAGGCUUACCAAGGCGACGAUGCGUAGCCGACCUGAGAGGGUGAUCGGCCACGCUGGAACUGAGGCACGGACCAGACUCCUACGGGAGGCCGCAGUAGGGAAGCUUCCGGAAUGGGCGAAAGCCUGACGGAGCAACGCCGCGUGAGUGAUGGAGGUCUUCGGAUCGUUAAACGCUGUUAUUAGGGAAGAACAAAUGUGUAAGUACCUAUGCUCGUCUUGACGGUACCUAAUCAGAAAGCCACGGCUAACUACGUG